This 290-nucleotide ribosomal RNA is filed under the name uncultured bacterium. RNAcentral's name for it is "partial 16S ribosomal RNA". It matches the Rfam family "Bacterial small subunit ribosomal RNA", at positions 773 to 1060 of the family's 1533-position model. The record is from RNAcentral.
GUGGAUUAGAUACCCCGGUAGUCCACGCCAUAAACGAUGGGCACUAGGUGUCGCGGGUAUUGACCCCUGCGGUGCCACAGCUAACGCAUUAAGUGCCCCGCCUGGGGAUUACGGCCGCAAGGUUAAAACUCAAAGGAAUUGACGGGGGCCCGCACAAGCGGUGGAGCAUGUGGUUCAAUUCGACGCAACGCGAAGAACCUUACCUGGGCUAGACAACAUCGGACAGUCUCAGAGAUGAGAUCUUCCCUUCGGGGACCGGUGGUUCAGGUGCUGCACGGCUGUCGUCAACU